Molecule: small nucleolar RNA, 131 nt
Filed under: Sparus aurata (gilthead seabream)
Lineage: Eukaryota; Metazoa; Chordata; Actinopteri; Spariformes; Sparidae
Description: Small nucleolar RNA ACA64 (ENSSAUG00010018264.1)
Rfam family: Small nucleolar RNA ACA64
Source: Rfam by way of RNAcentral
UCAGACUGAAAAUGAUCUCAGAUGUAACAGUGAUCUGAGAUCAGAUAACUGAGCCUAAAGUAUUCUGGUGCAUUAAAGCUUAUCUCCUGUUCACCUCUUGGCAGAGCGAUAAAACCCAUGUUCCAACAAAA